Molecule: ribosomal RNA, 480 nt
Filed under: uncultured bacterium
Lineage: Bacteria
Description: partial 16S ribosomal RNA
Rfam family: Bacterial small subunit ribosomal RNA
Source: RNAcentral
AUUGAACGCUGGCGGCAGGCCUAACACAUGCAAGUCGAGCGGAUGAAGGGAGCUUGCUCCUGGAUUCAGCGGCGGACGGGUGUGUAAUGCCUAGGAAUCUGCCUGGUAGUGGGGGAUAACGUCCGGAAACGGGCGCUAAUACCGCAUACGUCCUGAGGGAGAAAGUGGGGGAUCUUCGGACCUUACGCUAUCAGAUGAGUCUAGGUCGGAUUAGCUAGUUGGUGGGGUAAAGGGCUAACAAGGCGACGAUCCGUAACUGGUCUGAGAGGAUGAUCAGUCACAGUUGAACAGAGACACGGUCCAGACUCCUAAGGGAGGAGGCGGGGAGGAAGAUCAGAGGAUGGGAGAAAGACUGAUCCAGCCAGGGCGCGUGGGUGAAGAAGGUCUUCGGAUAGUAAAGCACUUUAAGUUGGAAGGAAGGGCAGUAAGUAAAUACCUUGCUGGACGGUCGUUGCCAAAAAAGUAAGGGCCAGCUAAGUG